UCCCCAGCCGGGGGCUGCAGGGGCCGGCAGCCCGGGGGAUGUAUAAUACAGAAACGACAUUAGGGGGAGCUCCGUUACCUAGUCCGGUUUUUUAAAAGAGUGAGCGUUUGAGUCCGUGGCAGAGCAGUGCCUUCGCUUCUCGGGAAAUCGCUGUCUUUCCUCUUCCGUCUCAGGCGGCUGCUGCGCAAGGAUAAUGAGGGCUGUGCUGGGACACAAAGAUCAACUCGAGGCUUAUUUCAACAAAAUGCUUUUUACUAAAUGGUCUCUUACCCAUCUUGAAAUGCUUCCUACCCUAACUAGUCCCCUGAAAGCAGAGGCAGUGGUUGCACAGCAGUCCACAGUUAUGCCUUGAAGCACAUUUUUAAGCACCUAAGACAAAAGGAAGAGGCUUUGUGUUCAGGUUCUGUGUGCACCAUUUGCUGAGAGGAGACACACAGACUUCAGAAGGCUGCCAGCUGGCUGGCCAUUCCUCUCGUUUCAAAUAAACAUUCAACAUGUUUUCAGUAAA
This is a long non-coding RNA of Aquila chrysaetos chrysaetos, 508 nucleotides long. RefSeq lists it as uncharacterized. The record is from RefSeq and is a predicted model, not a curated record. The transcript has 2 exons. Lineage: Eukaryota; Metazoa; Chordata; Aves; Accipitriformes; Accipitridae.